UUUGAGGUAGUGCUGGCAUACGAAGCAUGAUGAAGGUCUCAUGCAUUACGAUUUUACUUACUUUCACUGCCUUUUAUUUUCUGCUGUCCACCACUGAAAAGGGAGGUCCGUCAUUCGCUGCUGCGCUGCCAUUUCCGGAGCCAAAUCCAUUAUUUGGUUUGUCAAGGCGAAAACGCUCCAACCCUAAGUCGCAUCAGCAGCCACAUCGUAGGCACGAUCAGCGCAAUCCUCGAAAUAUCAGCCACAUGUCGAAAGCGGAAAUGAAGCAGAUACAGGAUCAGCUUGAAAAUCCCCAACGUAAUCAAAAUAAUCCAAGCGGUAGUGGCAGGACUUGAUCCCGAAAAUGGCAAUGUCAUGCUUCUCCGACAAGAUGCCUUCCGUGUUGUCGACUUUCUGCUCUUUGCAGCCAACUGUCUCCGACCAUCUCUCCAGAAGACCCAGGGACUCCUGGGUUCACUUGAAAUAAAAGCACACACCACCCA
Long non-coding RNA from Dermacentor andersoni, 482 nucleotides. RefSeq lists it as uncharacterized. NCBI's taxonomy places the organism in Eukaryota, Metazoa, Arthropoda, Arachnida, Ixodida, Ixodidae. The record is from RefSeq and is a predicted model, not a curated record.